Molecule: long non-coding RNA, 102 nt
Organism: Octopus sinensis (East Asian common octopus)
Lineage: Eukaryota; Metazoa; Mollusca; Cephalopoda; Octopoda; Octopodidae
Exons: 3
Source: RefSeq, a predicted model, not a curated record
AUUAAGUCUAAUUUUGAAAUGUUUUAACUGAUGAAGGUUUUACAUAAUGGAUACAUUUCCUAUUAUAUAUAAUGCAAACCUGAAACACUCAUAUUAAAUGAU